RNAcentral lists this ribosomal RNA (253 nucleotides) under uncultured bacterium. RNAcentral describes it as "partial 16S ribosomal RNA". It matches the Rfam family "Bacterial small subunit ribosomal RNA", at positions 524 to 776 of the family's 1533-position model. The record is from RNAcentral.
UACAGAGGUCUCAAGCGUUGUUCGGAUUCAUUGGGCGUAAAGGGUGCGUAGGCGGCGCGUCAAGUCGGGUGUGAAAUCUCGGAGCUUAACUCCGAAACUGCAUUCGAUACUGCCGUGCUUGAGGACUGGAGAGGAGACUGGAAUUUACGGUGUAGCGGUGAAAUGCGUAGAUAUCGUAAGGAAGACCAGUGGCGAAGGCGGGUCUCUGGACAGUUCCUGACGCUGAGGCACGAAGGUCAGGGGAGCAAACGGG